RNAcentral lists this ribosomal RNA (524 nucleotides) under uncultured Glomeromycotina. RNAcentral describes it as "SSU rRNA". It matches the Rfam family "Eukaryotic small subunit ribosomal RNA", at positions 569 to 1092 of the family's 1831-position model. Lineage: Eukaryota; Fungi; Glomeromycota. The record is from RNAcentral.
AGCAGCCGCGGUAAUUCCAGCUCCAAUAGCGUAUAUUAAAGUUGUUGCAGUUAAAAAGCUCGUAGUUGAACUUCGGGGUUUGCCCAUUGGUCAGGCUUAAUUGUCUGCACUGGUGAGAUGAAUCUCUACCUUCUGAGGAACUUUCAUGCCAUUUAUUUGGUGUGAUGGGAAAUCAGGACUGUUACUUUGAAAAAAUUAGAGUGUUUAAAGCAGGCUAACGUCUGAAUACAUUAGCAUGGAAUAAUGAAAUAGGACGGACUGAUUCUAUUUCGUUGGUUUCUAGGAUCACCGUAAUGAUUAAUAGGGACAGUUGGGGGCAUUAGUAUUCAAUUGUCAGAGGUGAAAUUCUUGGAUUUAUUGAAGACUAACUACUGCGAAAGCAUUUGCCAAGGAUGUUUUCAUUAAUCAAGAACGAAAGUUAGGGGAUCGAAGGCGAUCAGAUACCGUCGUAGUCUUAACCAUAAACUAUGCCGACUAGGGAUCGGACGAAGUUAAUUUUAUAAUGACGCGUUCGGCACCUUACG